RNAcentral lists this long non-coding RNA (410 nucleotides) under Lathyrus oleraceus (garden pea). RNAcentral describes it as "Pisum sativum (pea) long non-coding RNA (PSAT_LNC012621)". Lineage: Eukaryota; Viridiplantae; Streptophyta; Magnoliopsida; Fabales; Fabaceae. The record is from RNAcentral.
GCUAAAUGAUUCAAUUUGCAACUUUGCUAAUUGUGCACAAGUGAAUGGAGGGUGUGUUUGACUGCACGAUUUUGGGCUGGAAAGGCUGCAGAAGGACAUUCCAAUGCUGCUUGUGGUCUGCACAGAAAAUGCUGUACCUUGCUUUUACUUAAUGACCAAUUGUACAAUUUGCCAACUUUGAAUUUUUGUCCAAAAUGGUAGUGUAAUGGUGUUAUGAACAUGCUUUUAAGCUUGGAGCAAAUCACAAAUGACAUAUGAAACAUCUCCCAAUUGGCCAAUUGGUGAAAAAAGUCUUAAUUCAAAAAGUCAAAGUUUGGUCAAACUUUGAUUUUAAAUGCAAAAGGUCCAAAAAUGCCAUUUUGAAUGGCAAGGUUUUAGGUCAUGAAAUUUAUAUUUUUGGAAAGAGGAUG